This 301-nucleotide ribosomal RNA is filed under the name uncultured bacterium. Its description in RNAcentral is "partial 16S ribosomal RNA". It matches the Rfam family "Bacterial small subunit ribosomal RNA", at positions 509 to 807 of the family's 1533-position model. The record is from RNAcentral.
CAGCAGCCGCGGUAAUACGGAGGAUCCGAGCGUUAUCCGGAUUUAUUGGGUUUAAAGGGUGCGUAGGCGGCCUUGUAAGUCAGGGGUGAAAGACGGUAGCUCAACUAUCGCAGUGCCUUUGAUACUGCAGGGCUUGAAUGUACUUGAGGUAGGCGGAAUGUGACAAGUAGCGGUGAGAUGCAUAGAUAUGUCACAGAACACCAAUUGCGAGGGCAGCUUACUAAAGUAUGAUUGACGCUGAGGCACGAAAGCGUGGGGAUCAAACAGGAUUAGAUACCCCCGUAGUCCCUGUCUCUUAUAC